This 268-nucleotide ribosomal RNA is filed under the name uncultured bacterium. RNAcentral describes it as "partial 16S ribosomal RNA". It matches the Rfam family "Bacterial small subunit ribosomal RNA", at positions 89 to 354 of the family's 1533-position model. The record is from RNAcentral.
CCGGCGACCGCGCGACGGUGNUAACGCGUAUGCAACCUGCCCGUUUCAGCGGGAUAACCCGGAGAAAUCCGGCCUAAUACCGCAUGUGGCCGAGGGGAGGCAUCUUCUUUCGGCCAAAGGAGGCGACUCCGGAGACGGAUGGGCAUGCGUGACAUUAGCUUGUUGGCGGGGUAACGGCCCACCAAGGCGACGAUGUCUAGGGGUUCUGAGAGGAAGGUCCCCCACACUGGUACUGAGACACGGACCAGACUCCUACGGGAGGCAGCAG